RNAcentral lists this ribosomal RNA (495 nucleotides) under uncultured bacterium. RNAcentral describes it as "partial 16S ribosomal RNA". It matches the Rfam family "Bacterial small subunit ribosomal RNA", at positions 28 to 507 of the family's 1533-position model. The record is from RNAcentral.
GAUGAACGCUGGCGGCGUGCCUAAUACAUGCAAGUAGAACGCUGAAGGAGGAGCUUGCUCUUCUGGAUGAGUUGCGAACGGGUGAGUAACGCGUAGGUAACCUGCCUGGUAGCGGGGGAUAACUAUUGGAAACGAUAGCUAAUACCGCAUGACAACAGUUAUUGCAUGAUAACUGUUUAAAAGGGGCAACUGCUCCACUACCAGAUGGACCUGCGUUGUAUUAGCUAGUUGGUGAGGUAACGGCUCACCAAGGCGACGAUACAUAGCCGACCUGAGAGGGUGAUCGGCCACACUGGGACUGAGACACGGCCCAGACUCCUACGGGAGGCAGCAGUAGGGAAUCUUCGGCAAUGGACGGAAGUCUGACCGAGCAACGCCGCGGGAGUGAAGAAGGUUUUCGGAUCGUAAAGCUCUGUUGUAAGAGAAGAACGAGUGUGAGAGUGGAAAGUUCACACUGUGACGGUAUCUGAACAGAAAGGGACGGCUAACUACGUG